Molecule: ribosomal RNA, 478 nt
Filed under: uncultured bacterium
Lineage: Bacteria
Description: partial 16S ribosomal RNA
Rfam family: Bacterial small subunit ribosomal RNA
Source: RNAcentral
GACGAACGCUGGCGGCGUGCUUAACACAUGCAAGUCGAACGGUAAGGCCCUUCGGGGUACACGAGUGGCGAACGGGUGAGUAACACGUGGGUGAUCUGCCCUGCACUUCGGGAUAAGCCUGGGAAACUGGGUCUAAUACCGGAUAGGACCACUGCCUGCAUGGGUGGUGGUGGAAAGCUUUUGCGGUGUGGGAUGGGCCCGCGGCCUAUCAGCUUGUUGGUGGGGUGAUGGCCUACCAAGGCGACGACGGGUAGCCGGCCUGAGAGGGUGACCGGCAGCACGGGGACUGAGAUACGGCCCAGACUCCGACGGGAGGCGGCAGCGGGGAAUAUUGCACAAUGGGCGCAAGCCUGAUGCAGCGACGCCGCGUGAGGGAUGACGGCCUUCGGGUUGUAAACCUCUUUCAGCACCGACGAAGCGCAAGUGACGGUAGGUGCAGAAGAAGGACCGGCCAACUACGUGCCAGCCGCCGCAGUAA